RNAcentral lists this ribosomal RNA (465 nucleotides) under uncultured bacterium. RNAcentral describes it as "partial 16S ribosomal RNA". It matches the Rfam family "Bacterial small subunit ribosomal RNA", at positions 339 to 795 of the family's 1533-position model. The record is from RNAcentral.
CUACGGGAGGCUCCAGUGGGGAAUAUUGGACAAUGGGGGAAACCCUGAUCCAGCAAUGCCGCGUGUGUGAAGAAGGCCCGCGGGUUGUAAAGCACUUUCGGUUGGGAGGACUGCUUCUAGCACUAAUAUUGUUGGAAGUUGACGUUACCUUCAGAAGAAGCACCGGCUAACUCCGUGCCAGCAGCCGCGGUAAUACGGAGGGUGCAAGCGUUAAUCGGAAUUACUGGGCGUAAAGCGCGCGUAGGCGGCUAGAUCAGUCGGGUGUGAAAGCCCCGGGCUUAACCUGGGAACUGCAUCCGAUACUGUCUAGCUUGAGUACAGGAGAGGAGAGUGGAAUUCCACAUGUAGCGGUGAAAUGCGUAGAUAUGUGGAGGAACACCAAUGGCGAAGGCAGCUCUCUGGCCUGAUACUGACGCUGAGGUGCGAAAGCGUGGGGAGCAAACAGGGUUAGAUACCCUAGUAGUC